CCAAUAGCGUAUAUUAAAGUUGUUGCAGUUAAAAAGCUCGUAGUUGAACUUCGGGAUUUGCCCAUUGGUCAGGCCUAACUGUCUGUACUGGUGAGAUGAAUUCCUACCUUCUGAGGAAUCUUUAUGCCAUUAAUUUGGUGUGAGGGGGAAUCAGGACUGUUACUUUGAAAAAAUUAGAGUGUUUAAAGCAGGCUAACGUCUGAAUACAUUAGCAUGGAAUAAUAAAAUAGGACGGUUGGUUCUAUUUUGUUGGUUUCUAGGAUCACCGUAAUGAUUAAUAGGGAUAGUUGGGGGCAUUAGUAUUCAAUUGUCAGAGGUGAAAUUCUUGGAUUUAUUGAAGACUAACUACUGCGAAAGCAUUUGCCAAGGAUGUUUUCAUUAAUCAAGAACGAAAGUUAGGGGAUCGAAGACGAUCAGAUACCGUCGUAGUCUUAACCAUAAACUAUGCCGACUAGGGAUCGGACGAAGUUAAUUUUUAAAUGACUCGUUCGGCACCUUACG
This 501-nucleotide ribosomal RNA is filed under the name uncultured Glomeromycotina. Its description in RNAcentral is "partial small subunit ribosomal RNA". It matches the Rfam family "Eukaryotic small subunit ribosomal RNA", at positions 591 to 1092 of the family's 1831-position model. Lineage: Eukaryota; Fungi; Glomeromycota. The record is from RNAcentral.